GUUCAAUGCUGUUAAUACAAUGUCCAAAGCUUUACUUAAUAAGUUAUAAGCCCGAGUGAGAAUUAAAUAUUCAUUGUUGAAAAAAAAAAAAAUUUUCUAAUUCAUUCUCUCUGUUUCUAGUUUCUACUGCCAUUAUAAGUUUGCACUGGUAGAGCUGGAAUUAGGAAUGGAAUCUCACUAUCUGUCUGGGGCUUUCACUUAUUCAUGUUUGUGCAUACAAACAUUAUACUUUGAAUAGAGCGAUACUUGUUCGUAUUAUCCACCAUAUUUUCUCAUUUUCGAAGAAGAAAUCAAACUGCAAUGGUCAAGAUUCUUACCUGAGUAGUAUCCUGGACAUCCUUAAAAAUUGCAUGUGCUAUUUGAUGUUUGGACUGUAAUGAUACUUGAUUAUCUAGUGAUUGAUGUAACAGUCUUAUUGACAAUUCAGUGUUGUGUCAUUGUUAUGUAAAUGGGUUCAUUUUGUUCAAUGUAUAGUCCAUUAUAUCUUCUCCUGGACUGCAUUUGUGAUAUUGGAUUUUUUUUU
Molecule: unclassified non-coding RNA, 523 nt
Filed under: Hevea brasiliensis (rubber tree)
Lineage: Eukaryota; Viridiplantae; Streptophyta; Magnoliopsida; Malpighiales; Euphorbiaceae
Source: RNAcentral